AGGAUAAACGCUGGCGGCGUGCCUAACACAUGCAAGUCGCACGAGAAAGGGGAGCAAUCCCUGAGUACAGUGGCGCACGGGUGAGUAACACGUGAAUAAUCUACCUCCGAGUGGGGAAUAACUGAGAGAAAUCUUAGCUAAUACCGCAUAAUACCCACGGGUCAAAGCAGUAAUGCGCUUGGAGAGGAGUUCGCGGCAGAUUAGUUAGUUGGCGGGGUAAUGGCCCACCAAGACGAUGAUCUGUAUCCGGCCUGAGAGGGCGCACGGACACACUGGAACUGAAACACGGUCCAGACUCCUACGGGAGGCAGCAGUGGGGAAUUUUGCGCAAGUGGGGGAACCCUGACGCAGCAACGCCGCGUGGAGGAUGAAGCCCCUUGGGGUGUAAACUCCUUUCGAUCGGGAAGAUAAUGACGGUACCGAUAUAAGAGCCCGGCUAACUUCGCGCAGCAGCCGC
RNAcentral lists this ribosomal RNA (457 nucleotides) under uncultured bacterium. Its description in RNAcentral is "SSU rRNA". It matches the Rfam family "Bacterial small subunit ribosomal RNA", at positions 26 to 518 of the family's 1533-position model. The record is from RNAcentral.